AUUGAACGCUGGCGGCAUGCUUUACACAUGCAAGUCGAACGGUAACAGGUUAAGCUGACGAGUGGCGAACGGGUGAGUAAUGCAUCGGAACGUGCCCGAUCGUGGGGGAUAACGCAGCGAAAGCUGCGCUAAUACCGCAUACGAUCUGAGGAUGAAAGCGGGGGACCGUAAGGCCUCGCGCGAUCGGAGCGGCCGAUGUCAGAUUAGGUAGUUGGUGGGGUAAAGGCCCACCAAGCCGACGAUCUGUAGCUGGUCUGAGAGGACGACCAGCCACACUGGGACUGAGACACGGCCCAGACUCCUACGGGAGGCAGCAGUGGGGAAUUUUGGACAAUGGGCGAAAGCCUGAUCCGGCAAUGCCGCGUGCAGGAAGAAGGCCUUCGGGUUGUAAACUGCUUUUGUACGGAGCGAAAAGGUCCUUUCUAAUACAAGGGGCUCAUGACGGUACCGUAAGAAUAAGCACCGGCUAACCACGUGCCAGCAGCCGCGGUAA
This 493-nucleotide ribosomal RNA is filed under the name uncultured bacterium. Its description in RNAcentral is "partial 16S ribosomal RNA". It matches the Rfam family "Bacterial small subunit ribosomal RNA", at positions 29 to 523 of the family's 1533-position model. The record is from RNAcentral.